Molecule: long non-coding RNA, 992 nt
Filed under: Triticum aestivum (bread wheat)
Lineage: Eukaryota; Viridiplantae; Streptophyta; Magnoliopsida; Poales; Poaceae
Description: long non-coding RNA (TAES_LNC020503)
Source: RNAcentral
CACCGCUGUUGAACUCGAUGCUUCAACAGCCAGCGCGGUGCUGCUGUUGAUGCAGGGGCGGAAGCUCGUCGGAGAAGGCCGACUGCACCAUGUCGUGGUUGUAUUGGUUGCUUGCGUACCCGGAUGCCGGCACGUGUCCUUGGAGGUCGAAAACAACAGCAUCGUUGUAUGAGCUUGAACUUUUCCUGGAAGCAUGACACAUAACAAAAUCAUCUUGUGUAAUGAAAAAUGUGACUGGUGUCAUCUUAAGUAGUCAAUAAUAUAUCUGAAGAAACAAAAGCAUGUGCCUAGGCACCAAAAUUCAGCAGGUAUGUUUUUACUUGUCGGUUAUAGCGAGACUGAAUAGGAUGAGGAGCUUCACUAAUAAAAAGAGAUGCUACAGCUAAAUGGAAGUGAAUGUAUCGCAAGGAAGGAAGAGUUUUGCUAUUACAAAUUGUAAGAAACUGAUAAUUAGAGCAGAUUACUUGUCCCCUGCCACUUGCCCGUCUCACAGGCCUGCUCCUUCCCCCUGUCGCCGGCCUCCUCCCCUGCAGCUCCACCCUAUCCCUACGGGAGCGCCGCCUGUAGCUCUGCCCCCGCUGAUGGACCAACACCAACCCACGAGCAAUUACCAAAGGGGUUGAGAAGGGAUGAGGCUAGCAGAUGCUCACCUCGUGCUCCUCCUGCUUGGCGGAAGAGGCAGCAGUGCACGAACUCCAAACUCCAAUCGCCAGGUCGCGCCCGACCUCUCCGGCGCAGGCCGACGCCAGCGGAGACCCUCCGAAGCCACACCUCCCUCUCUCUCCUGCAGAUUGAAUCCAGCACCGCCGCCGUCACCAGGAAGCUCGCCUCCGCACCGGCGGCGGACAAGAUGCGAUGGGGGGGAGACUGAGAUGGGAGGAGGAGGAGGAGGAGGCGGCGGCUAGGGGAAGCCCGGGAGGCGACUGAGGUGGGAGGAGGAGGAGGGGGCGGCGAUGGGAGGAGAAGGGGCGGCGGCUAGGGUUGUGAGGAAG